AUGCCUCAUCAUCUAAUUAGUGAUGCACAUGAAUGGAUUAAUGAGAUUCCCACAAUCCCAAGCUACUAUAUAGAAAAAUCACAACCAAGAGAAUGAGCUUGGAAAAAUUAGAGGGGAAAGAAGACCCUUUUGAGUUUUUACUCUAGUCCACCUUUGUGAAAUGAAUUGAGAGGUGUAGAAUAAGUGGGAUUUGUUUUCAGUGCCAAUGAAAUACCACUACUUUUAACAUUAUUUUACUUAUUUCAUGGGGAAGAGACGAGGCAUUGCACAUAUGUUAAAAGACAAUGCACAUUUCCUCAAAGUGUUUUCAUUGAUGGAAAUGGUCUAAAGCUCAUUCUUUACACAAUUGAUUGCAAUGAGUUCAUGAAACCAAAGAGGAUCAUUGCUUUUAAGGAUGAAGAAAGUUCCUAUAACAAUCCCUAUGUUUUUAUCCAAUAUAUCCCUAUAAGUGUCUAUGU
This is a non-coding RNA of Picea glauca (white spruce), 458 nucleotides long. Lineage: Eukaryota; Viridiplantae; Streptophyta; Pinopsida; Pinales; Pinaceae. The record is from Rfam.